Molecule: long non-coding RNA, 239 nt
Organism: Ctenocephalides felis (cat flea)
Lineage: Eukaryota; Metazoa; Arthropoda; Insecta; Siphonaptera; Pulicidae
Exons: 3
Source: RefSeq, a predicted model, not a curated record
UUUACCAGAAGCCGAAUAUAUUGAAUUAUUAUUAAUUUGUUUUAAGAAGACUAUUGGAAUCCUUAGUGCUUAUCAGAAAUUUGAAGUUAAGAACAACUUAUCUAUCCGUCCAGGACAUUAUACAAUAAAUAAUUCAUAAGCAGAUCGGCCAAAUUUGAGAUAGAUUUUACCAGAAGCCGAGUACAUUGAAUUGCUUCUCAUUUGUAUUAAGAAGACUAUUGGAAUCCUUACUGCGUAUC